Molecule: ribosomal RNA, 468 nt
Filed under: uncultured bacterium
Lineage: Bacteria
Description: partial 16S ribosomal RNA
Rfam family: Bacterial small subunit ribosomal RNA
Source: RNAcentral
GACGAACGCUGGCGGCGUGCUUAACACAUGCAAGUCGAACGGAAAGGCCCUGCUUUUGUGGGGUGCUCGAGUGGCGAACGGGUGAGUAACACGUGAGUAACCUGCCCUUGACAUUGGGAUAACUUCAGGAAACUGGGGCUAAUACCGGAUAGGAGCUCCUGCUGCAUGGUGGGGGUUGGAAAGUUUCGGCGGUUGGGGAUGGACGCGCGGCUUAUCAGCUUGUUGGUGGGGUAGUGGCUUACCAAGGCUUUGACGGGUAGCCGGCCUGAGAGGGUGACCGGCCACAGUGGGACUGGGAUACGGCCCAGACUCCUACGGGAGGCAGCAGUGGGGAAUAUUGCACAAUGGGCGGAAGCCUGAUGCAGCAACGUCGCGUGCGGGAUGACGGCCUUCGGGUUGUAAACCGCUUUCGCCUGUGACGAAGAGUGAGUGACGGUAAUGGGUAAAGAAGCACCGGCUAACUACGUG